Transfer RNA from Felis catus (domestic cat), 85 nucleotides. It matches the Rfam family "tRNA". From Rfam's summary of the family: Transfer RNA (tRNA) molecules are approximately 80 nucleotides in length. Their secondary structure includes four short double-helical elements and three loops (D, anti-codon, and T loops). Lineage: Eukaryota; Metazoa; Chordata; Mammalia; Carnivora; Felidae. The record is from Rfam.
ACCUGGGUGGCUCAGUCGGUUAAGCGUCUGACUUUGGUUCAGGUCAUGAUCUCGUGGGUUGUGGGUUCAAGCCCCACCUCGGGCU